AGGGUGAUAGUCCCUUUCAUAGUUUGGAACCCCCGGGGCUUUGUGAUUUGCUCUCCAAGAGUCGAGUUGUUUGGGAAUGCAGCUCAAAAUGGGUGGUAAAUGCCAUCUAAGGCUAAAUAUUGAGGAGAGACCGAUAGCGAACAAGUACCGUGAGGGAAAGAUGAAAAGAACUUUGGAAAGAGAGUUAAACAGUACGUGAAAUUGCCGGAAGGGAAGGGUAGGAAGUCAGACAUGCCUUUGCGGAUUCAGCUUGACCUUUUGAGGUUGUGUGUAUUUCCGUUUGGGCAGGCCAACAUCGAUUUUGGCUGUCGGAUAGGAAUGGAAGGAAUGUGGCACUCUUUUCGGAGGGUGUGUUAUAGCCUUCUAUUUGGUACGGCGGCUGGGAUCGAGGAACGCAGUGCACCCUUUUUUGGGCGGGCCUUCGGGCACCUUUGCACAUAGGAUGUUGGCUUAAUGGCUCUCUGCCACCCGU
Molecule: ribosomal RNA, 472 nt
Filed under: Thecaphora thlaspeos
Lineage: Eukaryota; Fungi; Basidiomycota; Ustilaginomycetes; Urocystidales; Glomosporiaceae
Description: LSU rRNA
Rfam family: Eukaryotic large subunit ribosomal RNA
Source: RNAcentral